Molecule: ribosomal RNA, 400 nt
Filed under: phytoplankton environmental sample
Lineage: Eukaryota
Description: partial small subunit ribosomal RNA
Rfam family: Eukaryotic small subunit ribosomal RNA
Source: RNAcentral
AGCUCCAAUAGCGUAUACUAAAGUUGUUGCGGUUAAAAAGCUCGUAGUUGGAUUUUGGGGCUCUUAACCGUCGGUCCGGCGUAAGCCGCGCACUGAUAGUUGGGUCCUUCUGUCUGGAGACUGCGUGUCACUCUUCACUGAGUGACGCGUUUGGAUCUAGGACUCUUACUUUGAACAAAUUGGAGUGUUUAAAGCAGGCAUUUUUGCCCUGAACAGGUUAGCAUGGAAUAGCAACAUAGGACUUUGGUUCUAUUUUGUUGGUUUUCGGAACCAAAGUAAUGAUUAAUAGGGACAGUUGGGGGCAUUCGUAUUUAAUUGUCAGAGGUGAAAUUCUUAGAUUUAUGAAAGACGAACUACUGCGAAAGCAUUUGCCAAGGAUGUUUUCAUUAAUCAAGAACGA